This 252-nucleotide ribosomal RNA is filed under the name uncultured bacterium. RNAcentral's name for it is "partial 16S ribosomal RNA". It matches the Rfam family "Bacterial small subunit ribosomal RNA", at positions 524 to 776 of the family's 1533-position model. The record is from RNAcentral.
UACGGAGGAUGCGAGCGUUAUCCGGAUUUAUUGGGUUUAAAGGGUGCGUAGGCGGACGCUUAAGUCAGCGGUAAAAUUGCGGGGCUCAACCUCGUCGAGCCGUUGAAACUGGGCGUCUUGAGUGGGCGAGAAGUACGCGGAAUGCGUGGUGUAGCGGUGAAAUGCAUAGAUAUCACGCAGAACUCCGAUUGCGAAGGCAGCGUACCGGCGCCCAACUGACGCUGAAGCACGAAGGCGUGGGUAUCGAACAGG